CGGAGUGGCAGACGGGUGAGUAACGCGUGGGAACAUACCCCUCGGUUCGGAAUAACUCAGGGAAACUUGAGCUAAUACCGGAUACGUCCGAGGUUUUAAUCGACCUUGGAGAAAGAUUUAUCGCCGGAGGAUUGGCCCGCGUCUGAUUAGCUUGUUGGUGAGGUAAUGGCUCACCAAGGCGACGAUCAGUAGCUGGUCUGAGAGGAUGAUCAGCCACAUUGGGACUGAGACACGGCCCAAACUCCUACGGGAGGCAGCAGUGGGGAAUAUUGGACAAUGGGCGAAAGCCUGAUCCAGCCAUGCCGCGUGAGUGAUGAAGGCCUUAGGGUUGUAAAGCUCUUUUACCCGGGAAGAUAAUGACGGUACCGGGAGAAUAAGCCCCGGCUAACUUCGUGCCAGCAGCCGCGGUAAUACGAAGGGGGCUAGCGUUGUUCGGAAUUACUGGGCGUAAAGCGCACGUAGGCGGAUCUUUAAGUCAGGGGUGAAAUCCCGAGGCUCAACCUCGGAACUGCCUUUGAUACUGGGGAUAUCGAGUCCGGGAGAGGUGAGUGGAACUGCGAGUGUAGAGGUGAAAUUCGUAGAUAUUCGCAAGAACACCAGUGGCGAAGGCGGCUCACUGGCCCGGUACUGACGCUGAGGUGCGAAAGCGUGGGGAGCAAACAGGAUUAGAUACCCUGGUAGUCCACGCCGUAAACGAUGGAUGCUAGCCGUUAGACAGCUUGCUGUUUAGUGGCGCAGUUAACGCGUUAAGCAUCCCGCCUGGGGAGUACGGUCGCAAGAUUAAAACUCAAAGGAAUUGACGGAAUCGAAUU
RNAcentral lists this ribosomal RNA (812 nucleotides) under uncultured bacterium. Its description in RNAcentral is "bacterial SSU rRNA". It matches the Rfam family "Bacterial small subunit ribosomal RNA", at positions 91 to 925 of the family's 1533-position model. The record is from RNAcentral.